AGCAGCCGCGGUAAUUCCAGCUCCAAUAGCGUAUAUUAAAGUUGCUGCAGUUAAAAAGCUCGUAGUUGAAUUUCGGGACCAAUAUGUUGGUCGUGCCUCGGUACGUACUGAUAUUUUUGGUUUCUCCCUUCUGACGAACCUUGAUGUCAUUAAUUUGGUGUCUUGGGAAAUCAGGACUGUUACUUUGAAAAAAUUAGAGUGUUUAAAGCAGGCUCACGCUUGAAUACAUUAGCAUGGAAUAAUGAAAUAGGACGUUUGAUUCUAUUUUGUUGGUUUCUAGGAUCGACGUAAUGAUUAAUAGGGAUAGUUGGGGGCAUUAGUAUUCAAUUGUCAGAGGUGAAAUUCUUGGAUUUAUUGAAGACUAACUACUGCGAAAGCAUUUGCCAAGGAUGUUUUCAUUAAUCAAGAACGAAAGUUAGGGGAUCGAAGACGAUCAGAUACCGUCGUAGUCUUAACCAUAAACUAUGCCGACUAGGGAUCGGAUGAUGUUAAUUUUUUAAAUGACUCA
RNAcentral lists this ribosomal RNA (508 nucleotides) under uncultured Glomeraceae. RNAcentral's name for it is "SSU rRNA". It matches the Rfam family "Eukaryotic small subunit ribosomal RNA", at positions 569 to 1078 of the family's 1831-position model. The record is from RNAcentral. Lineage: Eukaryota; Fungi; Glomeromycota; Glomeromycetes; Glomerales; Glomeraceae.